AGUCUAUUCAGAGGAACCUGUCCUGUAAUUGAUAAUCCACGAUGAACCUUACUUAAAUUUGUCUUUCAGUUUAUAUACCGUCGUUAUCAGAAUAUUUUAUUAGAAUAAUAAUUUUCUAUAAUUUUAAUAGGAAUGUAUAUCAGAUCAAGGUGUAGCUUAUAUUUGAGUAGAGAUGGGUUACAAUAAAUAUAUUUAAACGGAUCUAAUUAUGAAAUAUUUUUAGUGAAGGUGGAUUUGAUAGUAAAAUUUUAAAGAUUGUGAAUUUGAUUUUAGCUCUAGAAUAUGCACACAUCGCCCGUCGCUCUUACUAUUAAGGUAAGAUAAGUCGUAACAUAGUAGAUGUACCGGAAGGUGUAUCUAGAAUGA
This 366-nucleotide ribosomal RNA is filed under the name Zeugodacus cucurbitae (melon fly). Its description in RNAcentral is "partial 12S rRNA". It matches the Rfam family "Microsporidia small subunit ribosomal RNA", at positions 800 to 1311 of the family's 1311-position model. The record is from RNAcentral. Lineage: Eukaryota; Metazoa; Arthropoda; Insecta; Diptera; Tephritidae.